AACGAACGCUGGCGGCAUGCCUAACACAUGCAAGUCGAACGAGAUCCUUCGGGGUCUAGUGGCGCACGGGUGCGUAACGCGUGGGAAUCUGCCCUUAGGUUCGGAAUAACAGUUAGAAAUGACUGCUAAUACCGGAUGAUGACGUUAAGUCCAAAGAUUUAUCGCCUGAGGAUGAGCCCGCGUAGGAUUAGCUUGUGGGUGUGGUAAAGGCGCACCAAGGCGACGAUCCUUAGCUGGUCUGAGAGGAUGAUCAGCCACACUGGGACUGAGACACGGCCCAGACUCCUACGGGAGGCAGCAGUGGGGAAUAUUGGACAAUGGGCGCAAGCCUGGUCCAGCAAUGCGGGGUGAGUGAUGAAGGCCUUAGGGUUGUAAAGCUCUUUUACCCGGGAUGAUAAUGACAGUACCGGGUGAAUAAGCCCCGGCUAACUCCGUG
This 436-nucleotide ribosomal RNA is filed under the name uncultured bacterium. RNAcentral's name for it is "partial 16S ribosomal RNA". It matches the Rfam family "Bacterial small subunit ribosomal RNA", at positions 29 to 507 of the family's 1533-position model. The record is from RNAcentral.